AUAUAAUUAGCACAUAUUUUUUAAUUUUAACAAAUAGUAGCAUUACACCUAUAUAAAAGGGCUUGCAUAAAUGAAUAUAUAACACGUAUAUACUGUUAUUUUUGUGUGUAAAAUGCACAAUUUGAAUUUCAGUAAUAUGAACUAUUACAUCAAAUUGUAAUAAAUUGCCGUAGGAGAAAAAAAAAAAAAAAAAAAAAAAAAAAAAAAAAUAUGCGUGUAUCAAUAAUGAUUUAAAAAAAAAAAAAAAUAAAUAAAUGAAUAGAUACAAUAAGUGAUAAUAUUCUUUUUUUUUUUUUUUUACAGCUCAUUUAAAAAAAAAAUUAAUGUCCUAGAUUUGUAAAAAAAGGGUUAAGACACAUUUUAACAUUUAUUAAAUUCUGAUUUUUUGUAAUAAACAAAAAUUCUAUGAAUAUAUAUAUUAUGGAAUAUGGGAAAUACACAGGCAAUAUUAUCUGAGAAGGACCAGAAGGAUUUAUUACAAGCCGCUAAUUUUAGCGAAGCAGAUAUAAAAAAAAUGUAUAAAAGGUUUGUUGAGCUUGAUACUAAUAAAAAUGGACAACUAGAUCCUCAAGAGUUAUUUAAUGUUCCUGAAAUAAGUGAAGUAAAAAAAAAAAAAGAAAAAAAAAAAUACAUAUAUAUAUAUAUAUAUAUAUAUAUUGUAUAUAUUGUAUUUAUUGUAUAUUUUGUAUUUAUUGUAUUUAUUAAAUAUAUAUAUAUAUAUAUAUAUACAGAGAGAGAAAUAAAUAAUAACACC
This is a long non-coding RNA of Piliocolobus tephrosceles (Ugandan red Colobus), 754 nucleotides long. The record is from Ensembl. NCBI's taxonomy places the organism in Eukaryota, Metazoa, Chordata, Mammalia, Primates, Cercopithecidae.